GUACUUUAAAUAAAUGUAUUUUUUAUUACUUUCCACUUUCCACACACUUACAGCCGGGUUGUGACAAAAUGUUGAAAUGUUCUUCACGGCGGGCUUCUCCUGCACUACUUCUUGAGGAGCGAUGGUCAGCAUCACACUUAGGCCAGCAAUUCUAUCAACCUAAUUAAGGAACCUGUCCAUCGCGCAUCAAAGGCAAAGCCCGUUGGAGGUCAAGAUCAACCUUGUCACAAGGGCCUCGUCCAAAGCCAUCACCUACAACGCUGAAGUACCUUCCCCUAACCACCAUCACCCAUGCACCAGCGCCCCCACCUACACAGCAGCCAGCUCUGCUGUCUUGGAAGACAGAAAUAGACCUGCAAACUGCUCCCUCUCUCCAAGUUACAACAAGUGGACACUGGGGGCUCAGCUCCACCUCCACAUAUACAGCCCUCAUUCUCAAAACACACAAUACAAGCAGUAUUCUAAACAGAUAUCACAGGGAAAGAAAUAUAAAUGGACAAGUACAUUAGGCUGCGUCUGUGCACCAUCAUGGUAAAACUAGACAGUAUCACAGAUUACUGGAGACAUUAUCACCUUCCAUCACAGAUCAUGCUAUGGUAUAGAAUGCAGAACAAUAUCUUGUUACCUUUUAUCUUAGCGACCCUGAUGAGGAUAAUGACGGAAAAAGAGGCACAGGCCGCCAUGACAAACUCUUCUGACUUAAAAUCCCUGAUGAUCAUCAAAAAUGCAUGCAAGUCAUUUUACCAACCCAACCGAGAUCAGGCUGUGAAUAAAAGACUGGUCGCCUCCAAGAUUUAACAGGGAAUGACCCAGUUUAUGGAAGCAAGUGGGGAUUCAAGCUGUUCGCCUCGGCCGAUUCAAAGAAUGGCUCCAGUGGACUUUUCAUUUUACAUCUGCAAAAGCGACAUCCUGCUUAUAGGGAGAACCGCAGCAACUCGCAAGAAAAUAUGAAACCGGGUUUAAAAAAAAAAAUACAAAAUGGAUGGUCACAGGUGUUGGUCUGAUCCCCAAUUCACAAAGUACAUUGUGGUAAAACUGUGCAGAGGAGGGUGAAACAAUGACGGGGCUCUUGGACAAAGGUAUCAAUCCCUUGUCCCACAUCAGUUCGAAAGAACAAUGGGUGGAUCUGAACUAUCAGACCAGAGCAUUCAGUAUUUCACAUCACAAAAGCCUGUUUUAUCAUUUUCUGGACAUUGCCACCACCAACAGCGACAUUCUUCACAAGGAUCUCUGUCCAGCCCAGCAAACCAAACCCAUGACACACAGAGCUUUUAUAGAUGAGCGGACUGCCGAACAGCCGAAUAUUGGCAAGCCUCUCCGCACAGCUCCUGCCCUGGCGCUUGCAGGUCAUCCUGCUGUGCCUAUCGCUGAUGUCCAUGCAGCAGUCCACAGAGAGAGCGAGCCACCACGGGAGGUGUGAACAUUGCCAAAGCGAAGGCCAGCAAAAGGACACACCGUGGAAAUGCAGGGAGUGUGAUGAUGCUCUCUGCCUGCAGCUGGACAGAAACAGUUUUGCAGUGUGACAUGACCGUUCAAAAAAAAUUAAACAUGAAAACAUGCGCAUUAUGUAAAUAUCUGUUUUAUAGUUGGAUUUAAAUUUAAAUGUUUAAUACUCAUUUCUCAUUUUCACGCAUCCCUUGAAGCUUGAUAUGUAUCAUGAAAUCAUUUUUCUGUCCCGUUUUAUCUCAGUCCCUCAAUGAUGAAAGUGGAGUGGGGUCUACUCAAAUAUUACAAAAUGUCAUUUUAGACAUUCAUUGCACAUUUUAUUCAUAUACUACACUACUUUUGUGAACCUAAGACUUUGGUAAACCCAUUUUAAGCUCCCAAGCAAUUUGUCCACAUGAGUAAAUGUAUGUUUUCACCAGAGAUACCAUUAAAGAGUUCUUAAUUCAA
Molecule: long non-coding RNA, 1893 nt
Organism: Anarrhichthys ocellatus (wolf-eel)
Lineage: Eukaryota; Metazoa; Chordata; Actinopteri; Perciformes; Anarhichadidae
Exons: 2
Source: RefSeq, a predicted model, not a curated record